Molecule: transfer RNA, 74 nt
Filed under: Candidatus Goldiibacteriota bacterium HGW-Goldbacteria-1
Lineage: Bacteria; Candidatus Goldiibacteriota
Also listed under: 1 other name
Description: Candidatus Goldbacteria bacterium HGW-Goldbacteria-1 tRNA-Gly
Rfam family: tRNA
About the family: Transfer RNA (tRNA) molecules are approximately 80 nucleotides in length. Their secondary structure includes four short double-helical elements and three loops (D, anti-codon, and T loops).
Source: RNAcentral
GCGGGUGUAGUUCAGUGGCAGAAUGCGAGCUUCCCAAGCUUGAGACGAGGGUUCGAUUCCCUUCACCCGCUCCA